UACGAAGGGGGCUAGCGUUACUCGGAUUGACUGGGCGUAAAGGGCGUGUAGGCGGCGUGACAAGUCGGGUGUGAAAGCCCUCAGCUCAACUGAGGAAGUGCGCCCCGAAACUGUCGUGCUUGAGUGUCGGAGAGGGUAGCGGAAUUCCCCAAGUAGAGGUGAAAUUCGUAGAUAUGGGGAGGAACACCGGUGGCGAAGGCGGCUACCUGGACGACUACUGACGCUGAGACGCGAAAGCGUGGGGAGCAAACAGG
Molecule: ribosomal RNA, 254 nt
Filed under: uncultured bacterium
Lineage: Bacteria
Description: partial 16S ribosomal RNA
Rfam family: Bacterial small subunit ribosomal RNA
Source: RNAcentral